AGAGUUUGAUCAUGGCUCAGAUUGAACGCUGGCGGAAUGCUUACACAUGCAAGUCGAACGGCAGCACGGGGCAACCUGGUGGCGAGUGGCGAACGGGUGAGUAAUACAUCGGAACGUGCCCAAUCGUGGGGAUAACGUAGCGAAAGUUACGCUAAUACCGCAUACGAUCUACGGAUGAAAGCGGGGAUCGCAAGACCUCGCGCGAAUGGAGCGGCCGAUGUCAGAUUAGGUAGUUGGUGGGGUAAAGGCUCACCAAGCCAACGAUCUGUAGCUGGUCUGAGAGGACGACCAGCCACACUGGAACCGAGACACGGUCCAGACUCCUACGGGAGGCAGCAGUGGGGAAUUUUGGACAAUGGGCGCAAGCCUGAUCCAGCCAUUCCGCGUGCAGGAUGAAGGCCUUCGGGUUGUAAACUGCUUUUGUACGGAACGAAACGGUCUGCCCUAAUACGGUGGGCUAAUGACGGUACCGUAAGAACAAGCACCGGCUAACUACGUG
RNAcentral lists this ribosomal RNA (499 nucleotides) under uncultured bacterium. RNAcentral's name for it is "bacterial SSU rRNA". It matches the Rfam family "Bacterial small subunit ribosomal RNA", at positions 8 to 507 of the family's 1533-position model. The record is from RNAcentral.